RNAcentral lists this ribosomal RNA (800 nucleotides) under uncultured bacterium. RNAcentral's name for it is "bacterial SSU rRNA". It matches the Rfam family "Bacterial small subunit ribosomal RNA", at positions 8 to 797 of the family's 1533-position model. The record is from RNAcentral.
AGAGUUUGAUCCUGGCUCAGAGUGAACGCUGGCGGCAGGCCUAACACAUGCAAGUCGAGCGGCAGCGCAGCAGUAGCAAUACUGUGGGCGGCGAGCGGCGGACGGGUGAGGAAUACAUCGGAAUCUACCUUCUUGUGGGGGAUAACGUAGGGAAACUUACGCUAAUACCGCAUACGACCUACGGGUGAAAGCGGCGGACCGCAAGGCGUCGCGCGAUUGGAUGAGCCCAUGUCGGAUUAGCUAGUUGGCGGGGUAAAGGCCCACCAAGGCGACGAUCCGUAGCUGGUCUGAGAGGAUGAUCAGCCACACUGGAACUGAGCCACGGUCCAGACUCCUACGGGAGGCAGCAGUGGGGAAUAUUGGACAAUGGGCGCAAGCCUGAUCCAGCCAUGCCGCGUGUGUGAAGAAGGCCUUCGGGUUGUAAAGCACUUUUGUCCGGGAAGAAAUCUUCCGACCUAAUACGUCGGGAGGAUGACGGUACCGGAAGAAUAAGCACCGGCUAACUUCGUGCCAGCAGCCGCGGCAAUACGAAGGGUGCAAGCGUUACUCGGAAUUACUGGGCGUAAAGCGUGCGUAGGUGGUUCGUUAAGUCUGCCGUGAAAGCCCCGGGCUCAACCUGGGAAUGGCGGUGGAUACUGGCGGACUAGAGUGCGGUAGAGGGUGGUGGAAUUCCCGGUGUAGCAGUGAAAUGCGUAGAGAUCGGGAGGAACAUCUGUGGCGAAGGCGGCCACCUGGACCAGCACUGACACUGAGGCACGAAAGCGUGGGGAGCAAACAGGAUUAGAUACCCUGGUAGUCCA